AGGGAAUCUUCGGCAAUGGACGGAGGUCUGACCGAGCAACGCCGCGUGAGUGAAGAAGGUUUUCGGAUCGUAAAGCUCUGUUGUAAGAGAAGAACGGGUGUGAGAGUGGAAAGUUCACACUGUGACGGUAUCUUACCAGAAAGGGACGGCUAACUACGUGCCAGCAGCCGCGGUAAUACGUAGGUCCCGAGCGUUGUCCGGAUUUAUUGGGCGUAAAGCGAGCGCAGGCGGUUAGAUAAGUCUGAAGUUAAAGGCUGUGGCUUAACCAUAGUACGCUUUGGAAACUGUUUAACUUGAGUGCAAGAGGGGAGAGUGGAAUUCCAUGUGUAGCGGUGAAAUGCGUAGAUAUAUGGAGGAACACCGGUGGCGAAAGCGGCUCUCUGGCUUGUAACUGACGCUGAGGCUCGAAAGCGUGGGGAGCAAACAGGAUUAGAUACCCUGGUAGUCCACGCCGUAAACGAUGAGUGCUAGGUGUUAGACCCUUUCCGGGGUUUAGUGCCGUAGCUAACGCAUUAAGCACUCCGCCUGGGGAGUACGACCGCAAGGUUG
This 549-nucleotide ribosomal RNA is filed under the name uncultured bacterium. RNAcentral's name for it is "bacterial SSU rRNA". It matches the Rfam family "Bacterial small subunit ribosomal RNA", at positions 356 to 896 of the family's 1533-position model. The record is from RNAcentral.